Molecule: RNA transcript, 1566 nt
Organism: Zingiber officinale
Lineage: Eukaryota; Viridiplantae; Streptophyta; Magnoliopsida; Zingiberales; Zingiberaceae
Gene name: polyadenylate-binding protein-interacting protein 11-like
Exons: 11
Source: RefSeq, a predicted model, not a curated record
AACAACGGUUCAUGGUUCACGCGAAGCAGCCGACGACUGAGAGAAGAGAGAGAGGGGCACCACGAAUUGGUCUGCUCACCUGCGGAUCAUGGCCGUCGCCGAGACCGCAAACGGCGUUGAUCUAGCCGCCGUCGAUCUCGACGGAAAGGAAGCGCCCGACUCCAAUAAGUUCACGGAUCUCGCUUCCGACGCCACAGUCCUCGCCGUCAGCGAUUCUCUCCCCUUCCUCCGCCCUCACGUCGACCCUAAUGGCUUCCUCUUCGAGGAUCAGCAGCUGCACCGCGACUCCGAUCAAGGGCGGCCCGCGGUGGCGCAGCGAUCCCAGGGAGCGGAGCAGGAGAUGAGGGAUCUGGAGGAGCUCCUGUCGAAGUUGAAUCCGAUGGCGGAGGAGUUCGUUCCGCCGUCGAUUACCGGCGGCGGAGUGCCAGCGCCACCCUAUAGAGGCUUCGGCGUCGGGUUUGGUGGUGGGUUCUAUGGGGUUGGAUUUGGGGCGAGCCCUGCUUUGGGGAAUGGCGGCUUCGAUGGAGGCGGUGGAUGGAGGAAGAAGAACGAAUACGGUCAGGGGAAGCGUCGGAUGAAUAACCGGACUAGUCAAGCACAGAGAGAUGAGGUGAUCAGAAGGACUGUCUACGUUGCAGAUAUAGAUCAACAGGUUACUGAAGAAGAGCUUGCAACACUUUUCAACAGCUGUGGACUUGUUGUUGACUGUCGAAUGUGUGGCGACCCAAAAACUAUUCUUCGUUUUGCUUUCAUUGAGUUCAAUGAUGAAGAGGGUGCAAAAGCUGCUUUAAAUCUGUCAGGAACCAUGCUUGGGCUUUACCCUCUAAGGGUUCUUCCUUCAAAGACUGCAAUUGCGCCUGUGAAUCCUACAUUUUUGCCACGGUCGGAUGAUGAACGUGAGAUGUGCUCAAGGACUGUAUACUGCACAAAUAUUGACAAGAAGGUAUCUCAAGCUGAACUUAGACUCUUCUUUGAGUCCAUAUGUGGAGAGGUUUACCGGUUAAGGCUUCUCGGAGAUAAUCAUCAUUCUACUCGGAUUGCUUUUGUUGAGUUUGUAAGGGCUGAGAGUGCAACUGCUGCACUGCACUGUAGUGGGGUUGUCUUAGGAUCCUUGCCAAUCAGGCUAAGCCCUUCCAAGACUCCUGUGCGCCCUCGCUCUUCUCGCCCUCCCAUCCAUUGAAUCUUUGUAGGUUGAAGAAGUGUUCCAUAGCUAUACUACAAGAUAUGCAUAUACACAAUUUAUUAUACAUUCUGGCUCUAAAGUUAUAUUUCUUCCGAUGAAGAGAUACUUAUUGCACAUAGAUCUUUGAAAUAUGAUAUCGUCAUGUUGAAAAAUCUCACAUGGCAAUUUGGAGACUGAGAUGUCUGUUUGGACACUGCUUUUCAGAAGUCGUCGAAACUUUGCUAUCUAGUCUUGAUUUUGAGUUCUGCUCUAUUGAUAGAAGUCUAUUGCAACAAAACCUUCAAUGUGGAUCCUUGUGGAUCCCAAGCUGAAUAGCCAAUAAAAAAAAACAGAGGAUUGUAUUAAGCUUUGAUAUUUUAAUAAAUGUGAUUUAGUUAUUUCAA